Molecule: long non-coding RNA, 826 nt
Organism: Zea mays
Lineage: Eukaryota; Viridiplantae; Streptophyta; Magnoliopsida; Poales; Poaceae
Exons: 3
Source: RefSeq, a predicted model, not a curated record
CUCAUACGAAUAGAGAUAGAUGUUCCUGGAUGGAGAAUUCCUCACGUCACCUGCAACUCCAACUGUUGCUCGGCUUCACCACGUUCAACUCCCAGGAAAACCCCCAGCCAUCACCUGCCCCAGCGUUCGCUCUCCAUGUUUCCUAGCCCCAGCGGCCAGCCUGUCCUUGCUCGUUUCCAAGCUGUGCUCUAGCAAGCUUCUCUGUAGUUCUUCCCCAACUGCUCGCUCUCAGCCUGUGAGUGUCCUGCUCCCUCACGUAAAAGCAGCUCGGCCCUCUGCACCUGUCGUCGAUUCUGUUAUGUCCCAACCUCCGGUCUCUGCUCGUCCUUGCCUAGGUCCGGUCCUGCGUACUUCAACACUGUUCUACAGCCGUCUGAGCUCCACCUCGUCGUCGACCUGUUGUUUCAGCGUCGUAUCCCUCGACUUCAUCACAGCAUCACCGGUGCUCUCGUCGUCGUUGAGCUCUUGGCGCGACGUGACGUCAUCGUCGUUUUCUCGCCAGUCAUGCUCGACCCACAGCUCCUUCGCGUCAUCGUCUUCGACAACCCACAACCUCUGCUCUAACCUCAUCGCACUCGCGGAAUCGUCGUGAAGCCGCUAGCCGUCUGCCUCGUCCUCACACCCGACAAGCUGUCGUGCUCGGUGUGUUUUCUCCGUGCGGCCUUACGUGUUCCUCUCGCUUCAUCGGCUUGUCGCGUGUUAGAGCAGAGCUCCAUGAAGAAGUGGACAUCAAAGAGAAAUUGCUCCAGUACUUGAAUACCCAUUGGUGUGGUUCCAUCUAACUGGUUAUCUAGUAGAAGGAUUUUGGAUCUUCUCUGCAACAAAG